GCUGGCCUGGGCUGGGCGAGGUAAUUGACGCGCUGGCGCCCUGUCAGCACCGCCUGUUCGACCUCGGCGGCGAACU
This 76-nucleotide transfer RNA is filed under the name compost metagenome. Its description in RNAcentral is "tRNA-Ala". The record is from RNAcentral.